Long non-coding RNA from Marmota flaviventris (yellow-bellied marmot), 1347 nucleotides. RefSeq lists it as uncharacterized. NCBI's taxonomy places the organism in Eukaryota, Metazoa, Chordata, Mammalia, Rodentia, Sciuridae. The record is from RefSeq and is a predicted model, not a curated record.
AGGACAGAGCUGGGUCCCAGUCUGUCCACGGCCCCUUGCCUCCGACAGCAUGGCCUUGGUCCUGGCCCGGCUGCCCAGCACCUGGGCCUCUGGAUGGUGAUCUCGCCGACCCACAGGGCCACCCACGGUUCCUGCUGGCUCUCCCCUCAGCCGGUCCCCUCCUCCCCGGCACAGACAGGACCUGGAGCAGAGCCCGGGACACAGUUCUCACAGGACAGGCUGGCUGGGAGCAGGGACAGAGCCAUCUGGAGGGUCUCUGGGCCCUGAACUGCACUGGGGAGGGUCCUGUCUCUGAAAGGCUUCCCUGAGGCCCCUACUUAAGUCAGGGCUCAGCAAGAGGAAGGGCUGGUUAGAAAGUGAAAGGUGGCGGCUGCGUCCUCAGAGUGCGGGCUGCGUCCGUCCUGCAGAGGGCUUCUGGGAUCUCAGGCUCUUCCUCUAAAGGAAACCUGGUGUGGGGCGGCCACGGGAAGGAUGUGGGAACAGCAUCAGCCGGGCACUCGUGGUGCUGGUGGAGGCCUGGCCUCUGAGAUCUUCAGGAUGUCACUUGUCUCCUUGAUCUGAUCAACAGGUUGAGGUCCUGACCCUGCAUGUGAUGGUGUCGGGAGGCAGAGCCUGUGGGAGGGGACAAGGUCAUGACGUGGGCCCCCACGGGGGGUGUUAACUUCAAGCAGGGACCCCAGAGAACUCCCUGGCCAGUUUCCACCCCGUGAGGACAUCUGGGGAGCAGCAGCCCUCACCAGAGUGGGACCUCUGGGGCCUCCACCUUGGGCCUCAGCCUCCAGAGCGGUGAGCACCACAUUUCCUGCUCCUUGGCCACCAACGGGACCCAGCGGGACAGUGUGGCCUCAGAGCUGCAUUCAGCCCACGGCGGGAGCUCUCUGUGCAUUGACGGAGGGCAGGGCCACGGCCAGGCCUGUCCUGGCUGCCAGAGGGUCCCGGGUUGCUCUCACAGCAGGCCUGGCCCUGCAGACAGUAGAAGAACAUGAAAAACCAAAAGCCGGUUCCUGUUGACCUUGAGCUCCUGGAUCCAGCUGUACUUGAAGGAGGAAUGUCUGAGACUUUCAGAUACGAGAUACGGAGCUCCUGGCUCCCGCCCUGGGGUGGAGCCUGCGGUGCCCGGGCUUUCCCUGGGCCUCCCUCCCUCUCCAGCUCCGGCACUGCCUGGAACCCCAGCGUGGACCCCUCGCACAGGCCCCGAGGGAGGUCAGGACAGCCUCCCCCCGCCCUCCCCCCGCCCGCUGGGCUCCUGGGCGAUACAUCCUAAUGUAUAUUUAACAGUGGUUCAAAAUCGAAUUAAUUUAGCUGGUUAAUAAACUGUAACAUCCGUUUCUAAAUCGGGCACAUUUU